This 758-nucleotide long non-coding RNA is filed under the name Mytilus galloprovincialis (Mediterranean mussel). Lineage: Eukaryota; Metazoa; Mollusca; Bivalvia; Mytilida; Mytilidae. The record is from RNAcentral.
CUUGGUAAGUUUAAGUCGUCUCUUCAUAAGUUUUAUGGAUACUACGAGAACUUGAGAAACUCGUUACAAUAUACCUGUGGGAAAGAUGACCACGGAUAUAGAUAAGUUAUCGUUACGGCAACCUUACUUUGCCGUAUUUUUUAAUCAUUUGUAGUGAGUGUUUUCUCACGAUCAUGUUGCUGUCCAGAUUUCUUUUAUCGUCACUUGGAAUCUUAUUACUUUUUUUCUAUAAAGUUAGAAGCAACUGCUGUAGCUCUCUGAAAAUAGCAAAUUUAGAUAGUCGUUUUUCAGACUUAUGUUUUUCUCAUGAUUAUGUUGCAGUCCAGAUUCCUUUUAUCGUCCCUUGUAAUCUUCUGACUUUAAAAGGUUAUAUAAUGUUGUUAAAUAGUAGGAUUUCUGUGCUAGUUCUCUCUCUCUCUAUAUAUAUAUUUCCAUUUUUACGUUGUUGUUUUUGUAGACUAAUGUUUUUCUCAUGAUCUUGUUGCGGCUCAGAUUUCUUUUCUUGUACCUUUGAAUUUUCUUACUUAAAAAAAGUAAGGUUUGUGCUCUUGUUCUUUUUCUAUACAAUUCCUUUAUACAUUGUAAUUUUGUAAAAGGAUGUUUUUCUCAUGAUCUUGAAAUUGCGGUCCAGAUUUCCUUUAUCGCCCAUUUAAUUGGUAUCUUAUUACUUUUUCUAAAGUAGUAUAUUUGGAUUCUGAUCAAGAUAUAUUUGUAUAUUGUUCCUCAGUGGAAGCACGAUAUUUUUCUUUAAAUUUGCG